Molecule: ribosomal RNA, 1343 nt
Filed under: uncultured bacterium
Lineage: Bacteria
Description: 16S ribosomal RNA
Rfam family: Bacterial small subunit ribosomal RNA
Source: RNAcentral
GACGAACGCUGGCGGCGUGCUUAACACAUGCAAGUCGAACGGAAAGGCCCUGCUUUUGUGGGGUGCUCGAGUGGCGAACGGGUGAGUAACACGUGAGUAACCUGCCCUUGACUUUGGGAUAACUUCAGGAAACUGGGGCUAAUACCGGAUAGGAGCUCCUGCUGCACGGUGGGGGUUGGAAAGUUUCGGCGGUUGGGGAUGGACUCGCGGCUUAUCAGCUUGUUGGUGGGGUAGUGGCUUACCAAGGCUUUGACGGGUAGCCGGCCUGAGAGGGUGACCGGCCACAUUGGGACUGAGAUACGGCCCAGACUCCUACGGGAGGCAGCAGUGGGGAAUAUUGCACAAUGGGCGGAAGCCUGAUGCAGCAACGCCGCGUGCGGGAUGACGGCCUUCGGGUUGUAAACCGCUUUCGCCUGUGACGAAGCGUGAGUGACGGUAAUGGGUAAAGAAGCACCGGCUAACUACGUGCCAGCAGCCGCGGUGAUACGUAGGGUGCGAGCGUUGUCCGGAUUUAUUGGGCGUAAAGGGCUCGUAGGUGGUUGAUCGCGUCGGAAGUGUAAUCUUGGGGCUUAACCCUGAGCGUGCUUUCGAUACGGGUUGACUUGAGGAAGGUAGGGGAGAAUGGAAUUCCUGGUGGAGCGGUGGAAUGCGCAGAUAUCAGGAGGAACACCAGUGGCGAAGGCGGUUCUCUGGGCCUUUCCUGACGCUGAGGAGCGAAAGCGUGGGGAGCGAACAGGCUUAGAUACCCUGGUAGUCCACGCUGUAAACGGUGGGUACUAGGUGUGGGGUCCACUCCACGGGUUCCGUGCCGUAGCUAACGCUUUAAGUACCCCGCCUGGGGAGUACGGCCGCAAGGCUAAAACUCAAAGGAAUUGACGGGGCCCCGCACAAGCGGCGGAGCAUGCGGAUUAAUUCGAUGCAACGCGUAGAACCUUACCUGGGUUUGACAUGGAUCGGGAGUGCUCAGAGAUGGGUGUGCCUCUUUUGGGGUCGGUUCACAGGUGGUGCAUGGCUGUCGUCAGCUCGUGUCGUGAGAUGUUGGGUUAAGUCCCGCAACGAGCGCAACCCUUGUUUACUGUUGCCAGCACGUUAUGGUGGGGACUCAGUGGAGACCGCCGGGGUCAACUCGGAGGAAGGUGGGGAUGACGUCAAGUCAUCAUGCCCCUUAUGUCCAGGGCUUCACGCAUGCUACAAUGGCUGGUACAGAGAGUGGCGAGCCUGUGAGGGUGAGCGAAUCUCGGAAAGCCGGUCUCAGUUCGGAUUGGGGUCUGCAACUCGACCUCAUGAAGUCGGAGUCGCUAGUAAUCGCAGAUCAGCAACGCUGCGGUGAAUACGUUCCCGGG